RNAcentral lists this transfer RNA (73 nucleotides) under Ovis aries (sheep). It matches the Rfam family "tRNA". Rfam says of the family: Transfer RNA (tRNA) molecules are approximately 80 nucleotides in length. Their secondary structure includes four short double-helical elements and three loops (D, anti-codon, and T loops). The record is from Rfam by way of RNAcentral. Lineage: Eukaryota; Metazoa; Chordata; Mammalia; Artiodactyla; Bovidae.
UCCCUGGUGGUCCAGUGGUUAAGACUCUGCACUCCCACUGCAGGGGGCCUGGGUUCGAUCCUUGAUCAGGGAA